RNAcentral lists this long non-coding RNA (795 nucleotides) under Phaseolus vulgaris (common bean). RNAcentral describes it as "long non-coding RNA (PVUL_LNC005008)". Lineage: Eukaryota; Viridiplantae; Streptophyta; Magnoliopsida; Fabales; Fabaceae. The record is from RNAcentral.
GGAAAAUAAAGACAGUACCUGGAGGGUAUAUCAGGUUGAUUUUGGCUUAAUCCCAAGUCCCACAUCGGUGGAUUCAUUGUUUGGGAAGGAGGUUUGAAGGUUAUAAAUUAAACUCUCCCCCUUCACUGUUAAAAUAUCCCAAUUUGUAAUAUCUUCUCUCAUAAUAAUAAAAGGGAGUUGUUUUUGCUGUGCUCGGAGAUUAGGCUAAACAGGCCGAACUCCGUUAACAAUUUUCGGGUGUGUUUUUUCCUCUUUAUCUCUUUUCCCAACAUAUCAGAGAAGGAAAUUUAACAAUAGAGAUUGAGCGGGUUAGUUAGUUGUUAGGUGAGUUAGUUGAGGUGAGGGGGGUCUUUAAAUAAAGGCCGACCUGUUGUGGGGGAGGGGAUCGGAAUUGUUGUAAGAAGUUGACAGGAUUAAACCUGUGUGAAAGGAGCUAUUCUCCUUUGUAACCCUUUUGGGUGUUCUGUUCUGCACUGUAAUAAAACAGAGUUUUCUUUCUUCUUGUUGUGUUUGGGAGGGAUUCUGGGUUUUCUGUUUGGGAUCCUAACAGUUUGGUCCGACCUGCCGGAUCUGAAUAAACAGAGAGUGAGGAAGAAAAGAUGGAACAGAGGAUGGCAGCAGUAGAGAAAUUUACCAGCGAACAAUUGAAAUGGAAUUCUGAAAUAAGAGCAGAAAUUCUGGGGUUGAAAGAAGGCAUGCUGGAGUUAAAAGAAAUCAAAGAAAUGUUGCGGGAUCUCAAGAAAGGAGAUAGAAGGUCGGAAGGGGGAGAGAGUUCGGUGAAUGGUGAGGAAAGAG